This 769-nucleotide ribosomal RNA is filed under the name Bacillus sp. (in: firmicutes). RNAcentral describes it as "bacterial SSU rRNA". The record is from RNAcentral. Lineage: Bacteria; Bacillati; Bacillota; Bacilli; Caryophanales; Bacillaceae.
CGGAUGGSAGCUUGCUCCCUGGUGUUASCGGCGGAUGGGUGAGUAACACGUGGGUAACCUGCCUGUAAKACUGGGAUAACUCCGGGAAACCGGAGCUAAUACCGGAUGGUUGUUUGAACCGCAUGGUUCAAACAUAAAAGGUGGCUUCGGCUACCACUUACAGAUGGACCCGCGGCGCAUUAGCUAGUUGGUGAGGUAACGGCUCACCAAGGCAACGAUGCGUAGCCGACCUGAGAGGGUGAUCGGCCACACUGGGACUGAGACACGGCCCAGACUCCUACGGGAGGCAGCAGUAGGGAAUCUUCCGCAAUGGACGAAAGUCUGACGGAGCAACGCCGCGUGAGUGAUGAAGGUUUUCGGAUCGUAAAGCUCUGUUGUUAGGGAAGAACAAGUACCGUUCGAAUAGGGCGGUACCUUGACGGUACCUAACCAGAAAGCCACGGCUAACUACGUGCCAGCAGCCGCGGUAAUACGUAGGUGGCAAGCGUUGUCCGGAAUUAUUGGGCGUAAAGGGCUCGCAGGCGGUUUCUUAAGUCUGAUGUGAAAGCCCCCGGCUCAACCGGGGAGGGUCAUUGGAAACUGGGGAACUUGAGUGCAGAAGAGGAGAGUGGAAUUCCACGUGUAGCGGUGAAAUGCGUAGAGAUGUGGAGGAACACCAGUGGCGAAGGCGACUCUCUGGUCUGUAACUGACGCUGAGGAGCGAAAGCGUGGGGAGCGAACAGGAUUAGAUACCCUGGUAGUCCACGCCGUAAACGAUGAGUGCUAAGUG